Molecule: ribosomal RNA, 948 nt
Filed under: Salmonella enterica
Lineage: Bacteria; Pseudomonadati; Pseudomonadota; Gammaproteobacteria; Enterobacterales; Enterobacteriaceae
Description: bacterial SSU rRNA
Rfam family: Bacterial small subunit ribosomal RNA
Source: RNAcentral
AAAUUGAAGAGUUUGAUCAUGGCUCAGAUUGAACGCUGGCGGCAGGCCUAACACAUGCAAGUCGAACGGUAACAGGAAGCAGCUUGCUGCUUUGCUGACGAGUGGCGGACGGGUGAGUAAUGUCUGGGAAACUGCCUGAUGGAGGGGGAUAACUACUGGAAACGGUGGCUAAUACCGCAUAACGUCGCAAGACCAAAGAGGGGGACCUUCGGGCCUCUUGCCAUCAGAUGUGCCCAGAUGGGAUUAGCUUGUUGGUGAGGUAACGGCUCACCAAGGCGACGAUCCCUAGCUGGUCUGAGAGGAUGACCAGCCACACUGGAACUGAGACACGGUCCAGACUCCUACGGGAGGCAGCAGUGGGGAAUAUUGCACAAUGGGCGCAAGCCUGAUGCAGCCAUGCCGCGUGUAUGAAGAAGGCCUUCGGGUUGUAAAGUACUUUCAGCGGGGAGGAAGGUGUUGUGGUUAAUAACCACAGCAAUUGACGUUACCCGCAGAAGAAGCACCGGCUAACUCCGUGCCAGCAGCCGCGGUAAUACGGAGGGUGCAAGCGUUAAUCGGAAUUACUGGGCGUAAAGCGCACGCAGGCGGUCUGUCAAGUCGGAUGUGAAAUCCCCGGGCUCAACCUGGGAACUGCAUUCGAAACUGGCAGGCUUGAGUCUUGUAGAGGGGGGUAGAAUUCCAGGUGUAGCGGUGAAAUGCGUAGAGAUCUGGAGGAAUACCGGUGGCGAAGGCGGCCCCCUGGACAAAGACUGACGCUCAGGUGCGAAAGCGUGGGGAGCAAACAGGAUUAGAUACCCUGGUAGUCCACGCCGUAAACGAUGUCUACUUGGAGGUUGUGCCCUUGAGGCGUGGCUUCCGGAGCUAACGCGUUAAGUAGACCGCCUGGGGAGUACGGCCGCAAGGUUAAAACUCAAAUGAAUUGACGGGGGCCCGCACAAGCGGUGGAGC